CACGUAUGCACCAAGCGUUGUCCGGAUUUAUUGGGCGUAAAGGGUGUGUAGGCGGUUUGAUAAGUCUUCUGUGAAAUCUACGGGCUUAGCCUGUAACGUGCAGAGGAAACUAUCAGGCUUGAGUGUCGGAGAGGAUAGGGGAAUUCCCGGUGUAGAGGUGAAAUUCGUAGAGAUCGGGAGGAACACCAGUGGCGAAGGCGCCUAUCUGGCUGACAACUGACGCUGAGACUCGAAAGCAUGGGGAGCAAACAGG
This 253-nucleotide ribosomal RNA is filed under the name uncultured bacterium. RNAcentral's name for it is "partial 16S ribosomal RNA". It matches the Rfam family "Bacterial small subunit ribosomal RNA", at positions 524 to 776 of the family's 1533-position model. The record is from RNAcentral.